GAUGAACGCUGGCGGCGUGCCUAAUACAUGCAAGUCGAGCGAACAGACGAGGAGCUUGCUCCUCUGACGUUAGCGGCGGACGGGUGAGUAACACGUGGAUAACCUACCUAUAAGACUGGGGUAACUUCGGGAAACCGGAGCUAAUACCGGAUAAUAUAUUGAACCGCAUGGUUCAAUAGUGAAAGACGCUUUUGCUGUCACUAAUAGAUGUUUCCGCGCCGCAUUAGCUAGUUGGUAAGGUAACGGCUUACCAAGGCAACGAUGCGUAGCCGACCUGAGAGGGUGAUCAGCCACACUGGAACUGAGACACGGUCCAGACUCCUACGGGAGGCAGCAGUAGGGAAUCUUCCGCAAUGGGCGAAAGCCUGACGGAGCCACGCCGCGUGAGUGAUGAAGGUCUUCGGAUCGUAAAACUCUGUUAGUAGGGAAGAACAACUGUGUAAGUAACUCUGCCCGUCUUGACGGUACCUAAUGAGAAAGCCACGGCUAACUACGUG
This 497-nucleotide ribosomal RNA is filed under the name uncultured bacterium. Its description in RNAcentral is "partial 16S ribosomal RNA". It matches the Rfam family "Bacterial small subunit ribosomal RNA", at positions 28 to 507 of the family's 1533-position model. The record is from RNAcentral.